This 228-nucleotide ribosomal RNA is filed under the name uncultured bacterium. Its description in RNAcentral is "partial 16S ribosomal RNA". It matches the Rfam family "Bacterial small subunit ribosomal RNA", at positions 107 to 334 of the family's 1533-position model. The record is from RNAcentral.
UGAGUAACGCGUAUGCAACUUGCCUAUCAGAGGGGGAUAACCCGGCGAAAGUCGGACUAAUACCGCAUGAAGCAGGGAUCCCGCAUGGGAAUAUUUGCUAAAGAUUCAUCGCUGAUAGAUAGGCAUGCGUUCCAUUAGGCAGUUGGCGGGGUAACGGCCCACCAAACCGACGAUGGAUAGGGGUUCUGAGAGGAAGGUCCCCCACAUUGGAACUGAGACACGGUCCAA